Molecule: long non-coding RNA, 1841 nt
Organism: Petromyzon marinus (sea lamprey)
Lineage: Eukaryota; Metazoa; Chordata; Hyperoartia; Petromyzontiformes; Petromyzontidae
Source: RefSeq, a predicted model, not a curated record
GGAGACAGUGAGUGGGUAGGGACAGUGCCUGGCCAAGUGGUCACGAGGGAUAAUUACAGGAUGGACCAUCGGGGAUGUUCGGGAUUGGCUGAGACAGUUUGAGAAAGGGGGCGUGGCCGGGGGCGGGGCAAAUAGAAAGUUAGGGGACUGAUCAUGAAUAUAUUGCUUCGUAAGUGACGCUGAGAUUGGGUGUGACAGAAAUGUAAAUGGGAUGCAUUUUGACAGCUUUAUGGUGAGGUUCAUUAGCAUAUUCAUAUAAAUUAUGGACAGCCGAGGGAUACCUGCAAGAGACCUCUGUUUACAGCCUCAAAGAUCCUGAACUUCGGAGCAACUACCUGCUCGCUAUCAGCAUCCGAAAAGACUGGUUGCGUUGCAGCUGCAAGACGAUGUCUCGCCUCCGUCUCAUGAUUGCCUUGGCUCUUUUCAUCACGCUGUACGUGGUCUGUUCGACUGAGGGAUUCUCCCAAGAUAUAUCUCAACGUCAGAAAAGAUCAUAUUUGGAGUGGAGUGAAAGCGAGGUGCCCAAUUCCGUCUUCUCGGCCAGACUAUCAAAUCAAGAAGUCAAGUCGGGGACUCCAAUAAAAUUUGACAUCAUAAUCAGCAAUCCACAAAAACACUACGAACCCACCACGGGCAAGUUCACGUGCAUCUAUCCGGGCGCCUAUUACUUCUCCUUCCAGUCGCACUCCAAUGACAAAGGUUAUCUCGUAGCAUUACUUAAUAAGAAUGGCAAUACGGUCAUCAGAAUGACAGCUCACCCCAAUGACGAGAUGAGCGGUAGUACUGUGAUGUUGCUGACCAAAGGCGACCAGGUUACCGUGGAGUUUAAGGAGCCUUGGCUAAAUAUAUUUAUUAAUCAGCACCGGGACACCGUGUUCAGUGGAUUCCUGAUCCCCUCUUAUUAAUUCUGCCUGGGCGUUAUUCUCCCAGAACAGACUCGAAAAUUGUCAACCGGAAGGAUGAUAAUGGGGCGACCACACAAGUCAUUCUCGUUUCAUGCUCGUCCAUUACAACUUUGAUGUGUUGCUGGCCGCCUGGCGUCUUGGGCAUUCCUAAGUGUUACAACAAAUCGGCAGAUCUUUUUUAUAUGUAUUGGAACAUUUGGCAUGACGUAACAAUUAUCAAAAUAUGACUAACUGAUUUAUACUUUGUCACGUAUCGCUAUCAGGAGUGCCCUAGGCCUACAAGCUCUCCUUUGUCAUGCUUUUUGCCCUCACCCCGCUCUCUGUACGACGAGGGAUUAAUUUCUCGCUCAAAACACUGCUCGCGGCUAGCUAGGAGUACGGGUGAUUGGCAUAAGGCACUAUAACUAUCACCAGAAUGCAAUAAAUGUCUAUCCGUAAUAUUAUAUCAUUGUACCCACUUAUUUUCCCAUUUAUGUAUACAGUUAUGAGACUAAAAUGAGGACAUACUGUAUGUUUGUGACUUACCAAGAUAAUUAAAAGAUUCAGAAUUUCAGACUGUAUCCAGCUGAUAUCAAGCUCUGAUUGCUGCCAUGAUGUUAAGUCAUAGCAAUGCUUUUGAGUGUUGCUAAGCAGGCGUGUGCGUGUGUGCUUGGCGGUGGGUUUAAUAAAGGCUACAUUACAUGCAAAUGUGCUCAAUUCAUUGUUCAUUAUUGUGGCGGAUAAAGGGCUGUCGAUUUAGAUGGCGAUGGUGCAGCCCAGUGGUCGCGCGCUUGCCGCUCCUUUAUGGAGGUUCGCGGAGUCAAUGUGGGCAGGCCGCCCUGGUUAAUACUGCGGUGUAUGAACCACGAAACACCACAAGUAAUCUGCUUCACAGCGGACACUGUAGAUUCUCGGGACGUCUUCGGAACAAAGUAGGUCACUGUGUGCUGGCGUCAU